RNAcentral lists this ribosomal RNA (253 nucleotides) under uncultured bacterium. RNAcentral describes it as "partial 16S ribosomal RNA". It matches the Rfam family "Bacterial small subunit ribosomal RNA", at positions 524 to 776 of the family's 1533-position model. The record is from RNAcentral.
UACAGAGGGGGCAAGCGUUGUUCGGAAUUACUGGGCGUAAAGGGCGCGUAGGCGGCCCUGUAAGUCAGUGCUGAAAUAUCCCGGCUUAACCGGGAGGGUGGCAUUGAUACUGCGGGGCUAGAGUACAGAUGAGGUAGGCGGAAUUGACGGUGUAGCGGUGAAAUGCUUAGAUAUCGUCAAGAACACCUAUAGCGAAGGCAGCUUACUAGGCUGUAACUGACGCUGAGGCACGAAAGUGUGGGGAUCAAACAGG